CUGCCCCAGCCCUUGUGACAGUGGCUUCUUCUGCCUCAGUGCCUGCAGCGGCCUCCCAGCUCAGCCAGAGGAGCCACUGUGCCGCUGUCAGUCGCUCCCACAGAAAGAUGGAAGCCCAGGCUGUGCAAGUCAGCUGGCCUAGUAAGGAGAGAACCUCCUCCUCAGAGGCCAAAGGAGGGAGAGCGGUAGAAUCGGCUGGCAGACGAUGCUUGCGACUGAGGAGAUGGUGGCGGAGAGGAGCAUCAGCACCGGAGUCAGGUGCUCAGAGACCAACGUCUGGGACAUCUUGCUCCUGCUCCAGCUGCAACCGCUGCAGCAAAGCUGACCAGGAGCUGCAGCAGCUGGUGCUAUCGGUGCUGCCGCAGCACGUGGCUACUCCUGGUCCUGAAUUCUGGGUGAUGGCCUGGAGGGACCUGGAGGAGCUGGUGGAGCAAGGAAGCCUGUCCUGCUGCAGCUCUGCCAAUGACCAGAGUGAGGUGCAGCGUGGAGCAUCAGCUUCUGAGUCAAG
Gallus gallus (chicken) is the source of this 508-nucleotide long non-coding RNA. The record is from Ensembl. Lineage: Eukaryota; Metazoa; Chordata; Aves; Galliformes; Phasianidae.